RNAcentral lists this unclassified non-coding RNA (359 nucleotides) under soil metagenome. RNAcentral's name for it is "partial contains 5.8S ribosomal RNA, internal transcribed spacer 2, and large subunit ribosomal RNA". The stretch from base 1 to 119 matches the Rfam family "5.8S ribosomal RNA", at positions 35 to 154 of the family's 154-position model. The record is from RNAcentral.
GAUGAAAACGCAGCGAAAUGCGAUAAGUAAUGCGAAUUGCAGAAUUCAGUGAAUCAUCGAAUCUUUGAACGCACAUUGCGCCCGCCAGUAUUCUGGCGGGCAUGCCUGUCUGAGCGUCGUUUCGACCCUCGCGCCCGGCUUCUGUCGGGGGCGGUGUUGGGGAUCGGCCACACCCUUCAGUGGGAGGCCGGCCCCUAAAUUCAGUGGCGACCACGCUGUAGCCUCCCCUGCGUAGUACUAAAACCACCUCGCAGGCGGAGAGCGGUGCGGCCCGCCGUAAAACCCCCCAACUUUUACAAGGUCGACCUCAGAUCAGGUAGGAAUACCCGCUGAACUUAAGCAUAUCAAUAAGCGGAGGA